RNAcentral lists this ribosomal RNA (442 nucleotides) under uncultured bacterium. RNAcentral's name for it is "partial 16S ribosomal RNA". It matches the Rfam family "Bacterial small subunit ribosomal RNA", at positions 339 to 795 of the family's 1533-position model. The record is from RNAcentral.
CUACGGGAGGCUCCAGUGGGGAAUAUUGCGCAAUGGAGGCAACUCUGACGCAGCAAUUCCGCGUGGAUGAUGAAGGUUUUCGGAUUGUAAAGUCCUUUCAGCAGGGAAGAAGCAAGUGACGGUACCUGCAGAAGAAGCCACGGCUAAUUACGUGCCAGCAGCCGCGGUAAGACGUAAGUGGCAAGCGUUAUCCGGAUUUACUGGGCGUAAAGGGCGCGUAGGCGGCAAAUCAAGUCAGAGGUGAAAAGUCAGGGCUCAACCUUGGCCUUGCCUUUGAAACUGAUUAGCUAGAGUACGGGAGAGGAGGGCGGAACUACCAGUGUAGCGGUGAAAUGCGUAGAUAUUGGUAGGAACGCCGAUGACGAAGGUAGCUCUCUGGACCGAUACUGACGCUGAGGCGCGAAAGCUAGGGGAGCAAACAGGAUUAGAUACCCGUGUAGUC